RNAcentral lists this long non-coding RNA (525 nucleotides) under Pogona vitticeps (central bearded dragon). RNAcentral's name for it is "lncRNA (ENSPVIG00000022793.1)". The record is from RNAcentral. Lineage: Eukaryota; Metazoa; Chordata; Lepidosauria; Squamata; Agamidae.
AUGACCUUCUUCUCCAUGUCCCAACAAAUGCCUUAUCAAAAUUCUAGAAUGUUGCAGGAUGGCCUUCCAAAUUGGAAGAUAAGAACUUUAAAGACUUUUGUUCCCAACUUGAAAUUCUCUUUAUCGAAGAAACCCGGGCAACUUCUAGGGUUCUUUCUCCUCUUCCCUCAGUCAAAGUGUGUGAAAAAUGACUGAAGUGUUGACUAAAGACCUUCAACUGGACAUGGCUGUUCCAUAUCGGCUGCUAAAAACAAGUGUAAGCUGGUAAUGAUUCCUCUGUAUUCUCACCAGGAAACCUUUUCUAAACAUUAAAAAAAGCCAGUGAAAGUAUAGCUUUGAGACAGAGAGGCAAACCCCUGGAGGAUCUGGGUGACCUUGCUUUUAUAAAAAGAAAGAAAGCCUCUUUUUUUUUCAAGGUGUGACUUUCACGUUUGAUGGCUUUAUUGUGAUGUUCAUUUUUCCCCUCCCCUUUUUUGAUUAGCAAGUUAUUACCUUCACCCCAUUUAUAUUUACAGUGAACAUCAG